GACGAACGCUGGCGGCGUGCCUAAUACAUGCAAGUAGAACGCUGAAGGAGGAGCUUGCUUCUCUGGAUGAGUUGCGAACGGGUGAGUAACGCGUAGGUAACCUGCCUGGUAGCGGGGGAUAACUAUUGGAAACGAUAGCUAAUACCGCAUAAUAGUAGAUGUUGCAUGACAUUUGCUUAAAAGGUGCAAUUGCAUCACUACCAGAUGGACCUGCGUUGUAUUAGCUAGUUGGUGGGGUAACGGCUCACCAAGGCGACGAUACAUAGCCGACCUGAGAGGGUGAUCGGCCACACUGGGACUGAGACACGGCCCAGACUCCUACGGGAGGAAGCAGUAGGGAAUCUUCGGCAAUGGACGGAAGUCUGACCGAGCAACGCCGCGUGAGUGAAGAAGGUUUUCGGAUCGUAAAGCUCGGUUGUAAGAGAAGAACGAGUGUGAGAGUGGAAAGUUCACACUGUGACGGUAGCUUACCAGAAAGGGACGGCUAACUACGUG
Molecule: ribosomal RNA, 495 nt
Filed under: uncultured bacterium
Lineage: Bacteria
Description: partial 16S ribosomal RNA
Rfam family: Bacterial small subunit ribosomal RNA
Source: RNAcentral